This 6363-nucleotide long non-coding RNA is filed under the name Xyrichtys novacula (pearly razorfish). Lineage: Eukaryota; Metazoa; Chordata; Actinopteri; Labriformes; Labridae. The record is from RNAcentral.
GACCUGCAGGUUUCUCUUGGGUAAUUGGUGCAGCUGUGGGUCUUUGAGAGCACAAUAGUUUUUGUCUGUGUUUACAUCGGGUCUCGAUGUGUUUGUAAAAAGCAUUGUAUAGUUAUGCAAAAUAAACCUCCUACUAUGGUGUUUCAUGAUGGAAAUACGUGUCAACUACAUUCUCCGGUUCAUCACCUCCGAGGGUCUACAAUCAUUAGACGGAGCUGCACUCACACAAACUUUUUCUCUUUUCUACAGAAACAUACAUGACACUAGUUUGUCCAUUUUGGGCUACUGUAGAAACUCAGAGCUAACAGACGGUGGACUCUGUGACCUCCUUCUUGUGCAGAUAUAAAAAGCUCUUUCUUUCUCAGCUAACAAAAACAGAAUGUUUUUUUUAAAGUCGGGUGAUUAUGCACUAAUUUAUACACACUUGUGGAAAUCAUAUAGCAUUUCUACCAAGUUUGUUCUGCUAAAUGUUGCUGAAUACUGCACACUGUGCCUUUAAAAUGAAAUUAGUCACUUUGGAACAGCAUCAGGGUGCCGCAUUAUAAUGUAAUCCUUAUUGUACAGAUUGAGGUCGUAGUUAUUAUUAUUAUUAUUGAGGGAAAAUUGAAGGUCUGAGUGACUUUGUUCAAUUUUAUACAGUCUGCCAGGAAAUGAACCACUUCAGACUUGGACCACUAGCCACUUUGUGAACUCAUAAUUCCCUCCUAUGUAGCUGCAGUGUUUUUUAACUUUAAUAUACAUUUAAUAUAGUAUGGUCCCUUAAAGGCACUCAUUAAUCCAAAUAUUACCCAGGUUAUAAAAAGUAUCAAGGCAAAUGAUGCAACCUCGCUUUAAGUAAGCCCACAUGGCAAAUAGAGGGGGACACUCUUCAGUGUUUAGUUGGGACCACGGUGAAAGACACGGUUCUGUCACGCUGGGAGUGUCUGUGUUGUUUAGUGUCUCCACCACCUGGGGUUGAUGGGAUAUUUACUGAGCGUGUGGGGUGGAUGGAGUGAGACUAGAGGGUGGCCAGGCGCCCCGGCUCCUGCGACUAACAUGUAUGUUCAGGGACUUCUGUAUUUUUAACAUGUGAUGUGUUUUGGGGGAGUGCAUGAAAGUGCAAAUAUUUUCCUAGCUGAUUUUCUGUCAGCAGCUUUCUCCAAAACGAGGAUCUGAUUCACUCUGUCAUGGAUGAAAAGGUCCUUUCAGAGUGACUGCGGGUUAGCUCUGAGCAACUUUAGUGUCAGAUACACUAAAACACAAACACCGAGGACUUUUUAAAACUACACUCUUGUCCUGCUUCAAUCCAAAGGCUCACGAUGAAGCUUUUUUUUUUCACCCCGGUUCGUUUAUAGAAACAGUAUUUCAGUCGCAUUAUAGCCCAAUAAAUACACUCUAAAUGAAAGCCCCUGACCUCUUUUUGUCUGGCAUUAAUGUGGAAGCUGAUUGUUGAACACACACCAAGCCCUGUUCUUUUACUGCCAGCAAAGCUUUCUGCGUUUGACUCCUGUUGCUAGGCAGAUCUCAAACAUUUAAACACUGAUUUAUUCAUCCACAUGAAAAAUCUCCUUAAACGAUGUGUAGGCUGUAAAAGAUGACAAUCGCGGAGAAGUGCUUUAUAGGCGUGUGAAGUGCGAGAGCCAGGCAGGGAGAUGUAUUUCACUUUAAUUUCCUCCACAGACGGCUGCUGUUGCCCUGGCAAAGCGCAGCCGAGGAUGUUAUUGCUCCACUUUUUUGGUCUGAUACUGUAUGUGAUAAGAAAAAUAGUGAGAGUCCUUUGGCAGUGAGGGUACAGAGUGCGGGAUUUAUGAGCUGCUGAAAGUGGCACUUUAACAGAUAUUUUAACUUGUAACUUUAUACCUUUAGAAAAAAACUUCUUACACUGAAAAAAACAAACUUCAAAUCCACUAAUCAAAAAAAGAGAAGGUUAACUUUACGAGAAGAAUAUUAAUCUACCUGGAGUUAAAGUCAGAGAAGUUCGGUCUCCACACUGAGCUUUUUUUCUCUCCACACAGAGGAUACUCUUGAGAUAAGUUAGCAGGCUGCUGAUGUUUGGGGUUUCUGUGUGAUUUGACAGUUAAUGACGCCUUCAGAGGCCGACAUUCCUCCGUUAAAGGGGAAUAUGAGGGGUCGUGGCCUUGUUCCUCCACCAUGGAUGAUUGAACCUUUGAUUUACACAGACUUAUCCUGUCAAAAUAGAGAAUUACAGUCUGGAGUUUUUUUUGAGUAAUCCUUUUAAUUUUUUCAAGAAAGAUGGAAAUCAGUCAUCAGAGUCGAGUCCCAUUUCAAGGGUAUCAGCUUCUUUUCACCUUAUUGAUUCUGGUCCUUACAGAUUCUUGAUGUUCAUACCAUUAUUCUGGGGGAAGAAACAACUUACAUCUAUAGAAUAAAUAUUUGUCAGUACAUUUACAUGCACAGUUAAAUCGAGCAACGGUUUACAUGCACUCAGCAAUAAUGAAACUAUGCUCCUCUUCUACAGUAGGUCCCCUUUUGUUUUCAUGAGGUCCUUUCCCGGUUUACGUAUUAGGUAUCAAAACAGUCAGCAAAAUGCAUUUGAGGCUAAUGAGGUGUACAUGAAUUUUUUUCUGCCCUGACUUCGUCUGUCAAGGUUUUGUUUACUACCUGGUUUCCUAGCAACGUAUCCACGCUAUUCAACCACCAGCUCAGAGCCCGGAGUGCGAAAACCGGGGCGUGCACAGACACUUACGCUGUGUUCCAGUUGUACUCAGAAGUUGAAAUUUCCGAGCUCUGAGUCGGGAUUUCAUCUGGAACGUCCCCCUGAAGUCCGAUUUCCAACUAGAAAAGUCAGAUGAUCCUCACCGACCCCGACCUGACGACAACGUUACAAUCCAAGAUGGCAGCGCAGUGCAUCAACAGUGAAGAGUAACAGUAAAAGCUCUCAUAAUUUAAUAUUUAUUUGCACUUCUGUUUUGUUUUUUGUGAAAUUAAAUAAGUGGUAUAUGUUCUGCUGCCCAACGUCUAACUGUGAACACAGUGCUACGGUGUUUGUAAGAGUAAAAUACUGUGUGAUGUGUUGUUUAUAACUGGUUUAGCUAACAACAGCUGACAAAGGCUAACAACGGCUAACAGUAGGCAUCCAUCUUAGUUUUCCGGGGGUGAUGUCAUUCCCUGGUCCCUCGUCCGACUUCUGAGAUAACUGGAACGCAGCAUUAGGCCACAGAUAUUUUAGUCCGACUAUCGGAAGUUCCCUUUAAUGCGAUUAACUCUUGUCACUUUUUGUACAAAUAGGCUAGCUUAAACAUUUAGCUUUGUCCUAACUAGCGCAAUACAUUUCCUCAAAAGUAAACCGAACGAGCCCUCCUGGAAUAAUGGCUGCAUUCAUACUUGGAACUUAAAUUUGUUCCCAAGCAGCAAGAAACAAACAAUACAUUGUGUUUCCUCCUGAGAAACUUUUUACAAGUGUUGGUAACCAAUUCUGCUAAGCUAACCUGGAAACCUGUUAUUUUUUUUCUCAUUAGAAAAGAGGUGUUUAUAUCACAUCUGCUGCUGUUACCUCCAGCAACAGAGAUACUAGUUGUUUACCGGGGCACCCAUGUCGACUAUUACCCAGGGACACUGAAUGCAGCAAUUAACGCCCUGGGGAGUGCUGUUGUCAGCGUUAUGAGGUGAUUGACAUGAGGCAGACCAUGCCUAUAACAGGUGGGAGUAAAAGGUCAGGAGGGAGCAGGUUUCUGGAAGGGGCUAUUAUCAAACUUGGAGACUUAGAGAGGAAAUUUAAUUUCCUCACCGGCCACUGUUAAACUUGUGUUGGCUACUUGAACAGUAGCCAGACACCAACAGACUUUCACAGCAUAGUUGCAGUGAUAGAGCUCCACAACUGUGUGGGUUUUGCUGCAGCAACCCUCUUGUGAAAAAUUAGUUUAUAGGUUUUUUACAAAUAUGUUUCCCUAAAGUGACUAGCUACUGGUUAAUAUAGUGUGUCCCAGGUCAGAGCAGCUUAAAAAUGAAGUAUUGGCCUUCACAGCUCUCCAGAGACCUGUAUGCCUCUUUUUGUCCAGUAUGCAAGCUGCGGUCCUGCCCUGCGUGUCUAGACAGGGGAAAAGGGAGAAAUAUCCGCCAGCAUGUACCGUAAAAGGACUCUUUCUGAGCGGAGGGAGUUUAAUUACUUUUUCCUUCCCGAUAACCUCUUAUUAAAUCUGACAUUUACCUUCGCUUGCCAAAAAUUAAAACAGAAGACCUACAGUAAAUACUCAAAUUUGUUGGAAAACAAAACAAUUGUGGGCACAUUUUGAUUAAUGCAUUAGACAUUUGUCGACAUGCCGCAGCGAGUCUGGUCACCAAACAGGACUAAGCUCACUUGUUUGGAAUGGGAGACAGCGAAUGUGUCAUCUAAACAUGGUGACUUGUAACACAGCAUAAAGAACCCAGUUUAAAAUCUGACGUGUUUCUCGUCCUGAAAAAGUACCUGAUGUUACUAUUUAAGUCAAUUAAACAUUUCCAAGAGCUAAAGGUCAAUGCCGCUCUUUUUUCCCCCCUCAGUUUAUGAGCUAAGAAUAAACAUCUGCAAAGCAAAGCAGUCACUUAUUACAGUUAAAGGUGCAGUAUCUGUUCAUGAUCGAGGGACUCAUAAAAACAGUCAUAGAUACACCGAAAAAGGUUAGGCGGGGUUCUGCAAACACACCAACAAACAGUUACCUGGUGUUUAUCGAAAUAUAAUCCCAACAGGGUGAGACUAGACCCAGACAUAGAGGGGAUUUCUUGGUUUUCUUCACUUUGGUUGAUGUCUCCUAACAUCGUCUCUAAUCUCUUUUCUCUGCUGAUGAUAUUAAAGAUAUCCUUCAUCCAAUACAGUCAUUUUUUGCCACAUGAUCUACAGGGUGAGAUCAUAAACUUCAUGAAUAUGCUGUGAUUAGAUUUUCUCACUUUCCACAGAUUAAUUUAUCAAUCUGAUAAAGAUCCUUUUUACACAUAGUAAAUACUUAAGUGGGUAAGGAUGCUUAAAAUUGUGGGAGAAAAGGCAAGGUAACAUAUUUAAAAAAAUUAUAAUGAUCUCAAAAUUCAGAUAAAGCUAGGAAUUGUGGCCCACUACCUCAUAAUUUUGACUUUUUAAUCUGAAGAUUAUGAUUCAUCUCAAAAUUAUGAUUGACUUUCUCAUAUUCAUGAUGCACUACUUUACUUUUUAUCCCGAAAGUAAUACUGACCACACCAUAAAUUUGACAACUAAUAAAAUAAUUGUGCCUUAAAUCUUUAAAUUAUGACUUACUAUCUCAUAAGUUUAAACAAUCUAAUAAUGUUGGCUUUAUUUUUCCAUGAUUGGGACUUACUGUCGCUCAAACUUGACAUUUAUCUUAUAAUUUUUACCUUUUAAUCUCACAGUUAUGACUAACUCACUCAUAAUUUUGAUUUACCUCAUAUUUAAACCUUUAAUUUAAUCAUUUUGAUUCUCUUUAUUGUAUAGACCUCUCAUACUUUUGAAUUAAUUACUACUCACAAUCCUGUUAAUUGUACUUAUUCAAAUAAUUGUGACUUUUUAUCUAAUAAGGAUGAUUAACUGUUUCAUAAAUUUUGACUUAUCUGGUGACAAUUCUGGUCACAACAACUUUUUACUACUUUUAAAUCUCAAAAUUAUAACCAACUUUCUACUUAUUUGGUCGUAGAUUUUGACUUUUAAUGUUAAUUAUGACAUACGGUCUCAUAAUCUAGACCUUUCUCAUAAUGUGAAUAUUCUAUCACAUAACAAUGACUUUAUACAUCAGAAGUGUGACUUAUUGGGUAGCUCUGGCUCAGUGGAGUUAGUUGUCUUCCAGUUGGAAGGUCAGGGGUUUGAACGAUCCUAGGGCCAAAGAAUCUUUGGGCAAGACACCCUUACUGGCUGCCAUUUACUAUAUAUUUUUCACUUCAUAUCUUUGAUCAACUUUCCCACUACAUGACUUUCUUUCUUUUAAUAUUUUCAUUUUCUAUCCUGUACUUAUGACUUAAUAUCUAGUUUUCUUUUCUUUUUUUAAACUAAGGGCAGCGUCUCUUGUUUUAUUUUUUUCCAUUUACCGGCAGAGAUUCCUAUUGGGAGGUUUGGACACAACCAUUUCAGUUUUUUAAAGUGGUGAAAUGACGAUAUCAGCCAAUUAAUCAGAAGGAGAGGACUGAAGUGAAAUGUGAAAGUAUUACUUGUUCAUACUGUCUGACUGUGCUCACUGUGUGGCCCGGUGUUAUUAAAGGACCACAAAAGGAAACUGAGAAAGAGAAGCACAAAUCAUCGCUGGUACAGCAAAUUAGCUCCCAACUAAGGUGAUCUGAAUGUGUCAGUGUUUCUCCCUCCAUGUCAGUAUUGUACUCAGCCAACCCAGACAGAUCAACUUUCACUCAUUACAGCAUUUUUAGCUGACUGACAGCACUGAGCAGACCUUGUCCUGCUUCCCCUCUCCA